RNAcentral lists this long non-coding RNA (531 nucleotides) under Gallus gallus (chicken). Lineage: Eukaryota; Metazoa; Chordata; Aves; Galliformes; Phasianidae. The record is from RNAcentral.
AUAAAAAGGAAGGAGAAGAGAAGAGCUGCGCUGUCACUGCUACCGCCACCUCAAGAGGCCUUCCCAGGCGCUGGCCCAAGGAGGUCCCACAAAAACCACGACGUCAGGAAGAGAAUGCCUGGUAAUCCAAAACACAAAGUGCUUUACCAAGACAGAGCCCAUAAGGCCGAGAGAAACUGUGAGGAACGUGGUGGGAAAAGGCGGGCAGGAAAGCACAAGAAGGAACCUCAAGGAUCAUGAAGCUCCAACCUCCAGACCACAGGCAGGGCCACCAACCUCCACAUUUCAUACCAGCCCAGGCUGCCCAGGGCCCCAUCCAGCCUGGCCUUGAACACCUCCAGGGAUGGACGGGGCAUCCACAGCCUCUCUGGGCAGCUGUUCCAACACCUCACCAUUCUCCUGGUGAUGAGCUACAGCCAGCUCUGUUGGCUGCUGGGUGUGAAGCGGGAGGACCCGAAGCCCGGUCCCUUGCACGCCGAUGUCAUAGGAACGAGAGCUUUCUUUCGGUCUUCCCUCUGGAAAGAGAUCUAA